Massospora cicadina is the source of this 131-nucleotide non-coding RNA. Lineage: Eukaryota; Fungi; Entomophthoromycota; Entomophthoromycetes; Entomophthorales; Entomophthoraceae. The record is from the annotation of a GenBank genome assembly.
GGCUCAAUGGUUUAGUCCCUCCCUCUUACUUUCCCUUUAAUUUUUUAAAUAGUAUGGAGUUUUACUAAAAAAAGUGGUAUAAUUCUCCCUUAGGGUGGGAGAGGUCCUUGGUUCGAUUCCCAGUUGAGCCC